MicroRNA precursor from Mesocricetus auratus (golden hamster), 83 nucleotides. NCBI's taxonomy places the organism in Eukaryota, Metazoa, Chordata, Mammalia, Rodentia, Cricetidae. The record is from Ensembl.
CCGGGCUGGAGAGAUGGCUCCUAGGUUAAGAGCACUGGCUGCUCUUCCACAGGUCCUGAGUUCAAUUCCCAGUAACCACAUGG